GUCUUACUGAAUUUAAAAUAAUAAGUUUGUUCUGCCCAUUGAAUUAAAUAUUUUAAAAGGCUGCUGUAAGUUAACUGUGCAACGGUAGCAUAAUCAAUAGUUUUUUAAAUGGAAACGUGAAUGAAAGAAUUGAUAAAAUAUUAGUUGUCUCAAAUUUAAAUAAUUGAAUUUAUAUUUAAAGUUAAAAUUCUUUAAUUAAUUUAUUAGACGAUAAGACCCUAAGAAUUUUAUAAUUUAUUUAUUAUUUAUUAAAUUAGUUUAAUUUAAAAUUUAUAAUUUAAUUAUUUUAUUGGGAGGGUAAUUAAAAAUUUAAACUUUAAUUAAAUUUAAACUUUGAUAAAUGAGUUUAAGGAUUAUUAUAAUAGUUAUUAGAAUAAAUUACCUUAGGGAUAACAGCGUAAUAAUUUUGGAAAGUUCAUAUUGAUAAAAAUGGUUGCGACCUCGAUGUUGAAUUAAAAUAAAAAUUAAAUGGAGAAGUUAACGGUUUGUAUCUGUUCUACUAUCAAAGUUUUACA
RNAcentral lists this ribosomal RNA (515 nucleotides) under Mischocyttarus consimilis. RNAcentral's name for it is "partial 16S ribosomal RNA". Lineage: Eukaryota; Metazoa; Arthropoda; Insecta; Hymenoptera; Vespidae. The record is from RNAcentral.